AGUCGAACGUGAAAGCACUUCGGUGUGAGUAGAGUGGCGGACGGGUGAGUAACGCGUGGGAAUCUGCCCAGUAGUGGGGGACAACUACCGGAAACGGUAGCUAAUACCGCAUACGCCCUAUGGGGGAAAGGCUUCGGCCGCUAUUGGAUGAGCCCGCGUCAGAUUAGCUAGUUGGUAGGGUAAAGGCCUACCAAGGCAACGAUCUGUAGCUGGUCUGAGAGGACGAACAGCCACACUGGGACUGAGACACGGCCCAGACUCCUACGGGAGGCAGCAGUGGGGAAUAUUGGACAAUGGGCGAAAGCCUGAUCCAGCAAUGCCGCGUGUGUGAAGAAGGCCUGCGGGUUGUAAAGCACUUUCAGUUGGGAAGAUGAUGACGUUACCAACAGAAGAAGCACCGGCUAAAUCCGUGCCAGCAGCCGCGGUAAUACGGAUGGUGCGAGCGUUAAUCGGAAUUACUGGGCGUAAAGCGCGCGUAGGCGGCUGAGUCAGUCAGAAGUGAAAGCCCCGGGCUCAACCUGGGAAUUGCUUUUGAUACUGCUUGGCUAGAGUUUGGUAGAGGAUAGUGGAAUUCCAGGUGUAGCGGUGAAAUGCGUAGAUAUCUGGAGGAACAUCAGUGGCGAAGGCGACUGUCUGGACCAAAACUGACGCUGAGGUGCGAAAGCGUGGGUAGCAAACAGGAUUAGAUACCCUGGUAGAAGGGC
RNAcentral lists this ribosomal RNA (704 nucleotides) under uncultured Gammaproteobacteria bacterium. RNAcentral's name for it is "bacterial SSU rRNA". It matches the Rfam family "Bacterial small subunit ribosomal RNA", at positions 60 to 795 of the family's 1533-position model. Lineage: Bacteria; Pseudomonadati; Pseudomonadota; Gammaproteobacteria. The record is from RNAcentral.